Syphacia muris is the source of this 72-nucleotide non-coding RNA. The record is from Rfam. NCBI's taxonomy places the organism in Eukaryota, Metazoa, Nematoda, Chromadorea, Rhabditida, Oxyuridae.
ACUCAAGUAGUAUAGUGGUUAGUACUCCUCGUUGUGGCCGUAGCGACACAGGUUCGAUUCCUGACUUGGGCA